RNAcentral lists this ribosomal RNA (441 nucleotides) under uncultured bacterium. RNAcentral describes it as "partial 16S ribosomal RNA". It matches the Rfam family "Bacterial small subunit ribosomal RNA", at positions 338 to 795 of the family's 1533-position model. The record is from RNAcentral.
CCUACGGGUGGCAGCAGUGGGGGAUAUUGCACAAUGGGGGAAACCCUGAUGCAGCGACGCCGCGUGGGUGAAGAAGUAUUUCGGUAUGUAAAGCCCUAUCAGCAGGGAAGACAGACUACGGUACCUGACUAAGAAGCCCCGGCUAACUACGUGCCAGCAGCCGCGGUAAUACGUAGGGGGCGAGCGUUAUCCGGAUUCACUGGGGGUAAAGGGAGCGUAGACGGCCGUGCAAGCCAGGAGUGAAAGCCCGGGGCCCAACCCCGGGACUGCUCUUGGAACUGUGCGGCUGGAGUGCGGGUGGGGCAGGCGGAAUGCCUGGUGUAGCGGUGAAAUGCGUAGAGAUCAGGAGGAACACCGGCGGCGAAGGCGGCCUGCUGGACCGCGACUGACGUUGAGGCUCGAAAGCGUGGGGAGCGAACAGGAUUAGAUACCCGGGUAGUC